AAAUCCACAAUCUACUGUCCAAAACCUUCAGUACAUGUCUCAGUGACCAUAAUUUUUCAGAUUUUAGAAGGGUAAUGUGGCUUCCAUCUUGUGUAUCAUGUGGCCUCCCCCGGGCCCUGGAAGAGCACGUGGUAAUCAAACACAUACAUCUCUGUGCAGCAAACUUAGGACUAUUCACACUAUAAACUUCUAUAAUGCAGAGAUCUUAGCCUCAUGUCUGUUUAGGAUGGAUUUUGCUGCCAAAUGAGUAACAAACAAACAAAUCUUUCAGUUUUCUAAACUUAUUAAAAGAGUUGGGAUCUGGCGAAUUUCGUCAGUGAGCCAUGGGAAGCAUCCCUGGGUCUGUGACCAAAUCUCGGAUGGGAGGUGAUUAUAGUUGCUGAAUAAUUACCUUGUCUACUGGAUAAGCAUUUUGCAACCCCAGGAAGAUUUAGAAUUUAGUGAAGAAAUGCUUAAAAGAAACAGAUCCCUAAAGUUAAUAUUUUUGUAAGUAAUGUGCAAAAUGUUGGCAUUUUGUAUCCUUGUAAUGUCCUGAUGCAGCUUCCCACUUAUAAAAGAGCCCGAGAACAGAGCACAGCAGUCAGCUGGCAAAAUUCUACUCCUAGCAACUGCCAAAGCCGAAGCAGCCUGCUAACUAGGAGAAAUCCACUAGUUUACCACCAGUUGCUUUUUAAAACAAAAUUAACAACACAAAUGCUCUGUUCUUCUAGCUGCAGUGUGUCAACUGUCUCAGGUUAUCUGUGACUUCAAAAUUCUGGUUUACAAUUCAGAAUGACGUCGCCAGUGGUGACUCAGCUCCCUCCUGGGUUCACCUACCCAGCACACAGCCAGGCACUCUGUUGGCUUCUCACCAAUAUUUGUCACAAGAAGCUGUUUUAAGGAUUACAGAAGAAACUGCCACCAUUGCAGUUCUGAUCUGAAGAUGUGUCAUCCUCCUAAGAGUGUAAAUUCAAGGAGUGGAGUUUGGCUGGUUGUGGCCACAGCCUCUUCUAGAAGCCUGUGCUGGGAGCAGAAAUUCUGUGCACCAUUUAAAGCAGUGCUUCCUACAUUCUAGUGUGCAGGUUCUGACUCAGGAGAUCUGGGGGAAGCCUGAGGUCCCAUGUUUCUAAUAUCCCUCUGGGGCUUCUGCUGCUGCUGCUGCAGGUUCAGGGGCCACACUGAGUAGUGAAACUUCAAAGCACUUCUGCUCCCUGAACUUCCAGUUCUCCCAAGAGGGUUGGCCUCAAGAAGCCAUUUCCAAAAGACCAAACUGGAGAGCAGAGCUGCCCCAGCGUCUACCCAACACUGCCCUCUGCGGGUAGGAGAAAGCAGGGAGUGCUGAGAGGUGAAAGGUGAGCCCAAGUCAAACUGGUGAUGGUGAAGUGUGAUGAAGGGGCUCCAGGGAUGGCUACAGUGGGCAGAGUCCCCAUAGCCUGUGAACAGCACAAACUGGUCAGCACUUACAAUUCACUAACACGCUGCUAUGGGGAGUGAAUGCCUGGACUUCAGCCUCUGCAGAGUAACAGAGCAAAGCGCAGGUGCGGUGCUGUAUUUAUCACAUCAGGAGCUAUCUCUCGGGCUGCAGUCCUGUGAGGUCGGGGGUUUAUGAGGAAUGUGCACCCCUUACUCAAGCUCAUUUGCUCUCUAGAAGGAGGCGACAGGCCAAAUAGAUUAGAGUUGGAAAGCAUCCAUCCGUAUCCAUGUCACAUGUUCCUGGGGGCUUCGUGUGC
This is a long non-coding RNA of Equus asinus (donkey), 1709 nucleotides long. The record is from Ensembl. NCBI's taxonomy places the organism in Eukaryota, Metazoa, Chordata, Mammalia, Perissodactyla, Equidae.